AGUGGCCUGGCUUCCAGCACCAAUGGCAAUUACCUGGAGGAAUGUCCUUAGGACAACCUGGAGGGAGAUUGAGAGCUUGUAAGUUCCAGGGAUGGAAUCCGAGUGAUCGCUAAGGCAAUUCAUAUAUUUUACCCACCUUAGGAUAACUGGUUUAGGAUUGGACAAACAAUCUCAGCUGCUUCAAUCAGACUCACUUCCUUUCAUUCAGAUGGAAGAUGGGAAAACACAAUGCUAUAGACUUUGGAAUAUUGUAUGGGCUCGUAAUCAGCGUACUGAAUUUCAAGCCAUUCCUUGGCCACUCAAUGGCCACUACUAAAUCACACAACCCACCCAACUGGAGAAUUAAAUCAAAUAUCUGGAGCAAUUUAAUGUGCAUGCAUUCGUGGCCACAAAAAUGAAGAUACAAAUAAGUGCUGGAUAUUAGACCUUCGUCAGACACAUAGACCAGUGGAACAGAAUAGAGAACCCAGAAAUUAGAUCACUCAUCUUCAACCAUCCAAUCUUCGACAAACCUGACAAAAAGCAAUGGGGAAAGGACUCCCUGUUCAAUAAAUGGUGCUGGGAGAAAUGGC
Molecule: long non-coding RNA, 572 nt
Organism: Homo sapiens (human)
Lineage: Eukaryota; Metazoa; Chordata; Mammalia; Primates; Hominidae
Product: long intergenic non-protein coding RNA 113
Source: Ensembl